UCCAACAUCCAGAUGAUCCUGCUUGAGUGA
This 30-nucleotide non-coding RNA is filed under the name Rattus norvegicus (Norway rat). Lineage: Eukaryota; Metazoa; Chordata; Mammalia; Rodentia; Muridae. The record is from RNAcentral.